RNAcentral lists this ribosomal RNA (521 nucleotides) under uncultured Glomus. RNAcentral describes it as "SSU rRNA". It matches the Rfam family "Eukaryotic small subunit ribosomal RNA", at positions 569 to 1093 of the family's 1831-position model. The record is from RNAcentral. Lineage: Eukaryota; Fungi; Glomeromycota; Glomeromycetes; Glomerales; Glomeraceae.
AGCAGCCGCGGUAAUUCCAGCUCCAAUAGCGUAUAUUAAAGUUGUUGCAGUUAAAAAGCUCGUAGUUGAAUUUCGGGAUCAAUACGUCGGUCGUACCUCGGUACGUACUAACGUUAUUGAUUUCUCCCUUCUGACGAACCGUGAUGUCAUUAAUUUGGUGUUACGGGGAGUUAGGACUGUUACUUUGAAAAAAUUAGAGUGUUUAAAGCAAGCAAUCGCUCGAAUACAUUAGCAUGGAAUAAUGAAAUAGGACGUUCGAACCUAUUUUGUUGGUUUUUAGGAUCGACGUAAUGAUUAAUAGGGAUAGUUGGGGGCAUUAGUAUUCAAUUGUCAGAGGUGAAAUUCUUGGAUUUAUUGAAGACUAACUACUGCGAAAGCAUUUGCCAAGGAUGUUUUCAUUAAUCAAGAACGAAAGUUAGGGGAUCGAAGACGAUCAGAUACCGUCGUAGUCUUAACCAUAAACUAUGCCGACUAGGGGUCGGAUGAUGUUAAUUUUUAAUGACUCAUUCGGCGCCUUACGG